CGCAAUGGGCGAAAGCCUGACGCAGCGACGCCGCGUGCGGGAUGAAGGCCUUCGGGUCGUAAACCGCUGUCGGGAGGGACGAAGAUCUGACGGUACCUCCAAAGGAAGCACCGGCUAACUCCGUGCCAGCAGCCGCGGUAAUACGGAGGGUGCGAGCGUUGUCCGGAAUCACUGGGCGUAAAGGGCGCGUAGGCGGCGCGGUAAGUAGGGGGUGAAAUCCUGCGGCUCAACCGCAGAAUGGCCUUCUAGACUGCCGUGCUCGAGCACAGUAGAGGCAGACGGAAUUCCCGGUGUAGCGGUGGAAUGCGUAGAGAUCGGGAAGAACACCGGUGGCGAAGGCGGUCUGCUGGGCUGUUGCUGACGCUGAGGCGCGACAGCGUGGGGAGCAAACAGGAUUAGAUACCCUGGUAGUCCACGCCGUAAACGAUGGGUACUAGGCGGUCGGGGGGAGCGACCCUCCCGGUGCCGUCGCUAACGCACUAACGUACCCCGCCGUGGGGAGUACGGCCGCAAGGCUAG
This 519-nucleotide ribosomal RNA is filed under the name uncultured bacterium. Its description in RNAcentral is "bacterial SSU rRNA". It matches the Rfam family "Bacterial small subunit ribosomal RNA", at positions 367 to 897 of the family's 1533-position model. The record is from RNAcentral.